GGCGGCGCACAAGCUGCUCGCUAGGAGCCCUAGAAGAGCGGCGGCAGCGGCACGCCUCGCCCAUAAGUUUCCCCCGCUGGCUGCCGAGGUUCCUCGAGCCGGGAGACCCCAGUGCGCCAUCCUGCGCUUGUGGCAAUAAACCGGAGCGCGCGCCCGCGCUGCUGCUGUUGGCGAAGUGAAGAGUGGCGCGAGAGCGCGACUGCGAUCGGCGCGCGAUUUCUCGUGUCGCUCCGCUCGCCUUCAGCGAACCGCCUCGCGUCUGCCUUGCUCUCCACCACCGCGGCGGACCAUGCCCAAGGGCUGCUCGCCGCCGCCGCCGCCGCCGCCGUUUCCAGACUACAACCCCCACCCCCCGCGGGGGAUAGGAGGAGCAAGAAGAGGCAUUCCCCCCCCCUCUACGAUUGCUGGCUGCGGCUGCCACGCGCUCGCUCCCUGAUUGGGCGAGGGGCGCUUCUCAGAAAACUGGCCCCUCUCCACGUGCGCGGCUGGGCAGAACUCGGGCCGUUCUCCAGAUGCGGGUCGGUAUAACUGAUGUGGAAGAGAAAGCAAGUCCCAGAGGAGUGGUCCAGAGAGCAAGAGUGGGCCCAUAGCGGAUGCCAUUCGGAAGAGGAUUAGGUCCAACUCAGCUGCACUCCCAACUCAGCUGCACUCCUUUGCUUCUCUCUGUGGGUAUAAUGGAACGUGCUGCAGGUCUUGUAUGCCUUCCCCAGUGCCUCUCAUCUGGAAAUGGGGGCUACUUCUGCAAGUGUAUGUUAUACCCUGCACCUCUAACAUUGGGGAAACUGCAUUCUGUUCGUUUUGUGACUCUUAAGUUGUGGGAGGUGAUUCUAGGCAGCACACAAAGCUAAAGGGAGUAAGGAGUAGGAGCACAUUGCAUCUCUUAUACUGUACACCACUAUCUACCUUCACGGAUUGAAGGAAAUUUCCCCAGUGUAAGGGUUCUAACAGAAAACAGGUGAAAUGGAAUUUUCUUUUUUAAAGGGAAACCUCUUAUAAAAUACCAGGCAGGUAUCAGCCUGGCUUUGCCAGUUUAGCAAUAGCUGUAGUUCCUGUUCCUGUACCUACAGGGUGACUGCAAAAUGUAUUCUGAAGAUUAUUCUUUAGUGACAAUGCAUUUUCCAGUCCCUGUCAUCUGCCUAAAUGGGAGAAAGGACUGUUUGCAAAGAAAAGGCAGCUCACGCCAUGAAACUGAAGAGGUCAGGAAAUGGAAAUCUGUGCUGCCAAUUCAAGGCUAAAGUCCUCCAUCCCUCCAUUUUUAACCAAUGAUUGUAUUGCAAAAUUUGGAGAUGUGUAAAAAAUAAAAGGAUAACUGUGCUUUGAUCAAUGUAUUAA
This is a long non-coding RNA of Rhineura floridana, 1332 nucleotides long. RefSeq lists it as uncharacterized. Lineage: Eukaryota; Metazoa; Chordata; Lepidosauria; Squamata; Rhineuridae. The record is from RefSeq and is a predicted model, not a curated record. The transcript is spliced from 2 exons.